RNAcentral lists this ribosomal RNA (253 nucleotides) under uncultured bacterium. Its description in RNAcentral is "partial 16S ribosomal RNA". It matches the Rfam family "Bacterial small subunit ribosomal RNA", at positions 524 to 776 of the family's 1533-position model. The record is from RNAcentral.
UACGAAGGGGGCUAGCGUUGCUCGGAUUGACUGGGCGUAAAGGGCGCGUAGGCGGUCUGUACAGUCAGGCGUGAAAUUCCUGGGCUCAACCUGGGGGCUGCGUUUGAUACGUGCAGACUAGAGUGCGGAAGAGGGUCGUGGAAUUCCCAGUGUAGAGGUGAAAUUCGUAGAUAUUGGGAAGAACACCGGUGGCGAAGGCGGCCUUCUGGACAGUGACUGACGCUGAGACGCGAAAGCGUGGGGAGCAAACAGG